RNAcentral lists this ribosomal RNA (248 nucleotides) under uncultured bacterium. Its description in RNAcentral is "partial 16S ribosomal RNA". It matches the Rfam family "Bacterial small subunit ribosomal RNA", at positions 85 to 334 of the family's 1533-position model. The record is from RNAcentral.
AAGAUGGCGACCGGCGCACGGGUGAGUAACACGUAUCCAACCUGCCGAUAACUCUGGAAUAGCCUUUCGAAGGAAAGAUUAAUACCGGAUGGCAUACGAAUAUCGCAUGAUAUUUUUAUUAAAGAAUUUCGGUUAUCGAUGGGGAUGCGUUCCAUUAGUUUGUUGGCGGGGUAACGGCCCACCAAGACAACGAUGGAUAGGGGUUCUGAGAGGAAGGUCCCCCACAUUGGAACUGAGACACGGUCCAA